Xenia sp. Carnegie-2017 is the source of this 1509-nucleotide long non-coding RNA. RefSeq lists it as uncharacterized. The transcript is spliced from 2 exons. NCBI's taxonomy places the organism in Eukaryota, Metazoa, Cnidaria, Anthozoa, Malacalcyonacea, Xeniidae. The record is from RefSeq and is a predicted model, not a curated record.
CAUCCUUUUGGAAUUAAACAGCAUAGACUGGACAACAUUUUGAAAGGAAACCCAGUUGCCUUGAUCGAAAUCGAGGAUGCCACGUUCAAAGACCUUUUAUCGUGGAUGCUACAGCUAAAACCGGAAGACAGACCAUCGGCCAAAAAGGCGUUAAAACACCCUUAUCUACAAACCGAUAGGGAGAAUUUUGAUUUGCUGUGUGAUGUUGGGAAUGAACCAGAAAUAAAGACAUCAUCUCCACAUUCUCUUCCCUCAAAUAUUCGUGAGCAGUUAAGUCUUUCAAUAGGUUGGAUGGACCGUAUCGAUUCUGAAUUCUUUAAUCAUUUCAACAAAGUAUCCGACUCUACAUGGUUAGGUUGCCUAAGAUUUUUACGAAACGUUCGCCAGCAUUGGCGUGAUAAACCUCGUCCACAACUGUCAUCAUGUGUUAAAGAUGGAAACUAUCAAGAGUAUUUUCUUCAACUUUUUGAGGAGCUGCCUUAUCUAGUUCACCGAGCCAUAAGAUUGAGUGACUGGAAGGCAAGACCUGAUCUAGAGAAACAUUUUCAAGUAAGACACAGAAAUGAGUUUUCAUUUUUGAUGGCCAAGCUAUAAAUUAGGGGUCCAUGACACUAUAUUUGUUAUUUUCACUCUCGUUCUCCUCUUCAUUUAUUGUACUUAAUGCAUGUAUGUUUUGAAUUCUGUAUAUUGCCGUUGCAAAUAUAUUUUAGACAGUGAGCAUCCUGUAAAACUUGAAGAAGGCAAGGGAAAGAAAAGCGAAGCUGUUAUUGACUACGCUGAUCUUAACGUGUAAAUGGUCAGAUGAAAUGACGAAUGGAAAAACAAGAACAUUAUCGUUUUCAAUUUAAAGCUAAAAUGUGCCACAUCAAUGAAGUCUUUUUAUUGUCUGCAAAAGAGGUUUAUGAGAAAGCAAUUGGCAAGAAGGAAAUCAAUGAUACCACAAUUCAAGAUCCUCUUUUAUGUAUGUUUUAAUUUAAGGCUCUUAAGUAACCAAGUUGGAUAUUACAUGGCCAGAUUUCUAUGAAUUUUUAUUGGAUUUUGCAAUGUUAUAUAAUUAACUGUUAUUUUUGUCUUCAAAUGACUAACGAUCCAAAACUGAAGGCGAAUGAAAUUUAAAUUUGAUUUCCAUACAUCAUGUUUGUUAUGUAAAAUAUUCAAUAAAUUUUAACAUGUGUAAUUUAGUAAUACAUAGCAUUUCUUCAAGUAUAACAAUGUAUAACAAUACAUAUUACUAUAUAUAACAAUACAAUAUGGAUGUCAUGACUUGUAACGCAAUUAAGGAGUUGCUCGAUCUGUGCUCAAAAUCCGUUGUACUUUAGCGUUAUAUAAUUCUUUCGUAUGAGCUCCGAGCGUGAGUUCAAUGUACUAGAACGCUAUUCAGUUUAUGUACGUCACUACAGUACCACUGCAAAGGGUAAAAGAUUGAUAUGCAUAAAAAGAACAACUUAUUGAAUUGGGGAAAUUGGUAAUAUUUGAAUAAAAUGACACUUUCAUGUGAGGUUGUGAUCA